CUUGUUUCCGAUGAAACCAUACUUUCCAGGACACCCACUUAUGGGACAUCCCCUUUACUUUAAUUUCUGAUGUGGAAUUUUAAUUCAUCUUGCCCAUGAAUCCAUGUCAUGGUGGGUUCUAAUGUAGUGAUAUAAUGGAUGAACUAGCUUGGUGUUUGUAAGUUAAAAUAUUUUAUAAUCUGCAAUCUAUGUUUUCAAGGCGUCCAGGCGCUUUAAGGCGCUGGGGGGGCGCCUCAACGCCUAGGCGCUCAAAGCGCGAGGCGAGGCGACGCCUUAGACACUUAUUAUUAGGCGCUAGGGGUACUAAUAUGGCAGCCAUGAGUGGACAUGUAACUGAUUCAUACCUUGAAUUUCCUGGUUGUUGAGCCCACAUAGCAUCCAUUCCUCCCAUCUUGUUUCCCAUUUCUGCCUUCCACAAUAGAAAUCUGCAUAAAGAUGAACAUAUAUCAUAUAUGGUUAAAACUAGACUUAAUAAUUAAUAGAUCACCAUUGGUAAAAAACAGAGUAAAUGACAGAAAAAGUGCAAAACAAGAUGACAAACAUGAGUGCAUUACAUAUUACAUAAACUAGGUCCACAACACAAUAAAUUAGGUUCACAAGUUCACAACAUAAAUUAGGUUCCAAACAGGCAAACACAUGAUCAUAAGCAAGGCUGGCCACACUCAAUUCUCAAUAGCCAUCAUCGAACUCAUCCAUGAUAGCAUUUGUGUUGUCUUCGCCAUCUUGGUCAGCACUAGUUGGAUCUUCAUCAUCAUCGGUCACAUCAACAUCAUCUUGAAGAAAGUCUGAAUCAUCAUCCUCUCCAUUGGGGAUACUUGAUUGUUGUUCUUGGUCAUCCUCUUCGUCAUCUUCAUGAAGAAAUGUUGGUGACGGAGCAGCCCUUUUGCGCUGCCUUUGGUACUGGACAUUAACAUUUGAGGCCCCCCUUGCCAUGGUGCUAGCUCUAGGAAAGUUGCGACCUUGCAGCGACGAACUUGCACCAACAGCCUCAUCAACAAGCUCCCAUGAAAUGUCAUCGGGACACCCUCGAGCACCUUGGGGUGGAGAUAUUGUUGGGUCAACCCACUCAUUGCCCCAAUCAAAAUCCUCAAUGACUAGAGGGUCAUAGUUAUUGCCACCCAUCUUCUCACGCCUCUUUUGAAACCUAUCCAAGUUCUUCCGGUUGUAUGAUACAAAGACAUUGUCAUUCAAGAGUCGGUGUUGUAACCGGUUCCUUUUCUUGGUAUGGAUCUACAAAUAGCAAAUAGAGUGAAUAAAUAAGUUGCUGAGAUUACUUGCUGAAAGCCUGAAACUAACUUCCUCUUGAUGAAAUAAAGACAAAGAAGUUACUCACAUGUUCAAAUGCGCUCCAAUUCCUCUCACAACCGGAUGAUGAAGCACAAAGACUAACAGUACGCUUUGCAAACCUUUGUAGCUCAACUGCCCGACCAGCAUAUGAACGCCACCAAUCAACUAAAAUGGUAAAAUAAACACACACAUGCAUUAGGAGUUUGUACUUUGUACAGAAAAUAACAUGCUGAAAUUAACUUGCUUGUUGCUGAAAUUAACUUUAGUUCACUUACGAGGGUUUUUUCCGACCAUGUUAUCGAUUGCCAUCUGAUUAGCAAAGGGUCCUCUCUUGUCCUCAUAGUCAACGGCUUGUGCAUCAAUCUUGUUGCGAGUAUUGACAUCAAGUACUGUUCGUGCAAGGACAUCAUUAAAACAACUUCUUAGCUCACCAAUUAGGGCAUCAUCACCACUCUCAACAAUAGAGAAGUAUUUUCCAGGGUUCAAAAACAAAGCAGCCCCAUAUAAUGGAUGGUCCAUUUGAUUCUCCCAACGUUUGUCAACAAUGUCAAUGAUCUUCUUGAGCAAAGCUUGCUUGUUUUGGUGGGGAAAACCUUGAUUGAUCUUCUCCUUUGCAAACCUCAUUAAUGCUGUCAUUUCUGGCAUGGCAGGAAUCUCAUCACCAUCCGCUACCCUAAGCACUCGAAGUAGUGGACCUGAAGCUCUAAGCAAGGUUUACAAGUCGACAAGUCGACGAGUCGUUCUGAGGUAGAGACUCAUAGACUAAUCGAGACUAGUCUAGACUAGUGCUAGACUAGUCGACAUGGUACUGUAGUACUCAGCUACUAAUACCUAGUGGUAGUAUGUAGUAUAUACUAACAGUACAGUAUGCAAUAAAACCAGCCACUGUCUAAAUCAUUGAGCUAUGCAGUGUUCUGGGCCCAAGUGGGUAUGGAAUGGGACCAGCCACUGUCUAAAUACUAGCCCAGCACCACGCAUCACCCCCCAGCUGGCCCAUUUGGGCCCAAAUGGCCAGCCUACUUAGCCCCCAGCCACUGGAACCCUAGCUCCCGACCUCUCCAAUCGCCGCCGCCAGCGCCAUCACGCACGAGAGCACGCGCGCACGCGACCCGCGCCUCCUGCCGCCUUCCGCCGGUCCCGGCCGCUGCCGCCGGCGAGCCCGCCGACCACCGCCAUGCCUCCUCCUUUCCUCUCCUCUCUCUCUCCCUUCCUUCUCUCCCGUCUCAAGGCCGCGUGCCCCUACGGGUCACGGCCAUGGCCGCCGCCUGAGCAUGAGCUCCGGCCGGCCGCCGCACCUGGCUGCGCCAUCCGCCGUCCCUGCGGUGGGUGGUGCGGUGGGUGGCGGCGGCGGCGGCAGGGCAGUGGGUGCUGGCGGCGCCUCGUCCCAGCUGAGGCAGCUCUCUUUUUUGAGUCGCUCGACUCAUAUAUGUCGACUAGUCCAGACUAGUCGUCGACUAGUCCAUCCACGGCUCGACUCGUAUUUGUAGUCUACACGAGAAAAUGAGUCGACAUCCACUCUGCGACUCGUAGACUAGUCGAGCGACUAGUCUAGACUAGUCGUUCGACUCGUAAUCACUGGCUCUAAGGCAGUCCUCAAUUGCAUGCCACCAAUCUGCUGAAAGCACAAUGUCUUGCACAUUCAAACCGGCUGCAGUUUUCGCCAAUUUGUUUCCGACCCAUGCUUGACAUGUAAAUAGACUCCUCAAUGCUUGCUUGUGCUUGACCAAACUCUUAAGAGCAAGAAUGGAUGUGGCAAAGCGAGUGGCUGCGGGUCUCACAAGAUCCAGCCCACCCGUUGCCUUCCUCAUUAGACUAAGAAUUCUGCCAUGCCUAUAGAUGAAAGUGGUGACUCGUCUACCCCGUGCAAUAGGCUUCUUAAAUGCCUUUAGCUUCCCUAUAUCUUCCAACAUUAGGUCCAAGCAAUGGCAUGCACAUGGACUCCAAUAUAGUGUAGGAAUCCUUUCCAUUAGUAUCUUGCCCGCUGCCUUGUAGUUCGCACCAUUGUCGGUGACAACUUGGACAACAUACUCUUUACCGACAUCCUCGAUUCUCUUCUCUAGCAAAUCUGCUAUCAUCCGAGCAUCUUGGCAUUCACUUGAUGCAUCAACCGACUCCAAGAAGUAAGUGCCCGCCGGGCUGUUUACAAGGAAGUUGAUCAAGUGGCGUCCCCUUUUAUCAGACCAGCCAUCUGACAUUAGUGUGCAGCCAUAUUGCUUCCAUGCUACCUCGUGCGUCACCCUCAACUUUUUUGUUUCCUUGACACAAUCCCUAAGCAAUGGCUCCCGCAGCUCAUGAGGAGAAGGAGGCUUGUAACCCGGGCCAUAUUGACAAGAGGCUUCUAUUGCAAUCUGGAAUUGCCUAGAGCUUGCAACAUUGAAAAGAAUGCCACACUCAUAGAAAAACAAUGCCCACUGCAUACUCACAUAGUGCCUCUCUUCCGGUGUUUUUGUGCUGGACUCCAUGGUGCUUUGAGAGCAACCGGAGCGUCUUUCAUCGACAACAUCCUCAGGUUUUUUCCUAAGCAUGGAAACAAUUGACUUGGUUGCAACAGAUUGAAACUUUUUGCCUGACAUUUUUACUGCAAAGGCUUUCUUGUUCUUCUUGGCUGCUGUCCCUGAACUUGGUCUUGUAGCGAAGCCUUGAACUGCUGCUGCAUUAGUGGAGCUUUGAACUGUCCCUGCUGCAUCUACCUCCACUACUACAUCAUCAUCAUCAUCUGGCUGUCCUAUGUUUCUCCUAUUCUUUUCCAAAUAUUCUAACAUCUCCCUCCUAAGCUGUGUGGUAGCCUUUGGACAACCUGUUGCAUCCCCACCAGUGCCAGCAAGAUGCUCUUUGUGUCUCUUGAUCCCUCCUUUAGUUAUCUUGCCACAAAGAUUGCACACAACAUUAUUGAUGUUGCCAGGUUUCAACCAAUACCCAUAAUUCCAGCCUGGAUCAUUUGACCUCCGUGGCCUGCGUUCUGGAUCUUCCAUUGGAUCAUAAGCAUCACCACCCCCAUUAGCUCCUGCAUCUGCCAUUGUGGGACUGCAAAGUGCAAAGUGCAAACAAUUAACAAUAUAAUAGAGGGCACAGCCGCAGAGGACAAACAGCUACUAUUCUAAUAAUAAGCUAGUAUAAAGAAGAUCCACUAACCUACUAUUCUAAUCAGCUAACAAGGACAAUCAGCAACUAUUUUAAUCACAACUUGCAGCUUACACUACUAUAAUAGAGGGCAGUGGGCAGAGGGCAGAGGCACAAGCAGCACAUCUACACAUGCAUAUACUAAACAGAGGGUUUAGAGGCAAGGCAGUGAGGCACAAGCAGCAGCAGCACCAUCAGAAAACAUGGGCAGGUGAGGGGAAAAGAGAGGCAGAGAGGAGCCGUACCUUGGGAGAGGGCCACCGUCGGCGGAGGAGAUUGGCCGGAGAGGGGGAGGGCCGGCGGAGAUGGAUCUUGGCCGGAGAGGGGAAGGGCCUGCGGAGGAGGAGCUUGGCCGGAGAGGGGGAGGCCGGCGGAGGAGCGGAUCUGGGCCGGCGGCGUGAGAGGAGAGAGCUCCUCUCUCUUUUCCCCUUGAUUUGGAGUCACGGGGCGUCCAAAAUCAACUAAAGCGGCGCCUUAUCCGCCUAGGCGAUGCCUUGGACGCCUCAACAGCACAAGGCGGACGCCUUAGAUAGAAAACUAAGGCGACGAUGACGCCUUGACGUCCCCGAGCGCUCUGACGCCUAGGCGACGCCUUGAAAACAUAGUCUGCAAUACUCAUUGGCACUCUUGAGACUACUUUACCCACUUUACCCUCUCUUCCAAUUUGUGUUCAUCAACCUAGUUGUAGAGUCAUUAUGUCAUAUUAGCGUUCUUUGUUGUUGAGCUUAGACAAACUAUUUCAUUGGAUUGCGAAUUUGUCAGCAACAUGGGAAACGGGGUCCCCCGUGCCUACUGGAGAUGGGCCUAGCUUUAUGUCUAAUACUUAAAGAAAGAGAGAAAACCAUACUCGGGGCCUCCCAAGCAUGAAGAGACUGGCAAUCACAGGGAAUCUGUAGUGUUUCCCAAGAUGGGAAUUGGGACUGCUAGAUUCUCUUCCCAUUUGUGUUCAUCAACCUAGUUUGUAGUUUCAUUAUGUCAUAUUAGCGUUCUUUGUUGUUGAGCUUAGACAAACUAUUUCAUUGGAUUGCGAAUUUGUCAGCAACAUGGGAAACGGGGUUCCCCGUGCCUACUGGAGAUGGGCCUAGCUUUAUGUCUAAUACUUAAAGAAAGAGAGAAAACCAUACUCGGGGCCUCCCAAGCAUGAAGACACUGACAAUCACAGGGAAUCUGUAGAGUUGGUCGGGAUCCUCCCGAUCAACUACCCUCCCCCGAGCAACUGAUCCUCGCCUGCCGAUCGUUUAAGGGGCCCACAAGUUGGCAAAAGAUCAAGCACAUGCUUGGUCACUUCUCUUCGGGCUUUCCGUGAGACCCGAGGCCACAAGCACAUUAAUAGCUAUGCCUGCAUGUCUAUGCAACCUACGGUUCAUAAGUUAUGAUGAUUCUGAACAGUAAGUCGGUUCGCUCCGAACCGAGGUGAUAUAGCCUGCCGCGUAUCAUGAGCGCAGGUCAUUUUUUUUUACUAUCAACAUGCUGGAUGUAGCUUGUCUCUUCGGCUGUCUCCCGCUGGCAAGUUGGACCUGGCGAGCUGUGUACGGUUGGAGAGGUUUGACUCGUCAACACGACCUACUCCCACUGCCCUAUCCUCUAACGGACCCGCGUGGGCUGCACAGGCUAGGUCGCCCAAGAUCGAUAGUGGCUUGGUUUGUAACAGGAUAUUGUGGUCCCCCCAGGCCCUAUAUAAGAGGAGGACCAAGGCAGUCCAAUGGUUGUCGCACUCGCAUCGCUGGCGAAUUUCGGAGGAAAGGUUGGAGUCCUUUAGUAAAAGUUUCUCCAAUAUUUGUCUGAAGGUUGUAUCUGAAGUAUAGCUUGCUGCCACUUCCUGUGACCGUCACAGGAAUGAUUUGAGAAAUUGCCAUUAAUGAACAACAUUUCCUUGAUAAGGCACCAGCUACUCUGUUAAGGGCGCCUUUCUUGUAUUGUAUUCUGAAACCAAAUUCUAGCAACUUCAUCACGAGCUUAUGGUUUGCUUAGCACCUAUAGCUCGUACCUCUGCUUGCAGUGUUGUUAUGUCUGAUCUGACAGACUGUGUUUCCUUGUGGUUCUCAAAGACCUCGGAUCGCAUGCCCAGGAGAUCUUGUAGUUCCCCGUCAUCAUUUCCCACCUUGCUCCUCCCCAUCUGGAUCUGGCCUUCAGGAGAGAGAAUUUCACAUCAGAACUAGUCCAGCAACUGGAUCUCCCACACCAGAUCUCGUUGUCGAACUGCGCUGCCGACAAAGUGGUGUACUAAAGCAGCACAAGGUUGUGGAGGAACAACUUACAAAGUAUACAACGCGAGUGUUGAUGGAACUACUUCUAUGUGCUGCGCUAGAUAUCGUUCUAGAGGCGGAAACAGGCUAAUGUGGCAGCAGGAGUUCAAUCCAAAUUUCCUAGAGCACAAGAUCUACUCCAAGAUCUUAGAUAAGAACAUCAAGUUCUACUAUAGGUAGUGGGGGUACAUAGUAUGCUUACAAACUAGAGGUGAGGACCUCUAUUUAUAGGGCUUUGGGAAGCCUUCACAUCUCACUUCUACUUAUAGCUAGAACACCCUAGAAAACAUUACUUAAGAUUCAUCAUUGUACUCAUAGCUACUCGUAGCUAGAAGACUCUAGAAAACAGUAGCCAGGGUUAAGAAAAGAAAAGAAAUACUAGACUAGACACUAGAGUAGAAGUAUAUAGAAGUAGCCAAACAGAUUUGACAUCUGACUUCAUUUUUCCUUUCCUCAUCUAUUGUUCCUCAUCAUUCUCCAUUGAUUGUUUGUAACUCGACCUUGAGUUAUCUUCAGAGCCCUUCUUCUGGGUGGAGUCAAGUCCGCAACAAUGAAAGUGUUGGAUAUACCCAUGUCGCUUGGAAGAUCUGUCACGCAGGCAUUAUUAUUUAUCUUCCUCAUAAUAGAGAAGGGCCCAUACCCUCGCUGCCUAAGCUUCCCUUUAACACCUAAAGGCAGCCUCUCUUUUCGGAGGUAGACCAUCACCUUAUCAUCAACUUGGAAUGUUUUCGGCCUCCUUUUGCAGUCAGCAAGUUGUUUAUAUUUCUGAUUUUGUGCAUCCAAAACACCACAAAUUUCUUAAAAAUAACUCAGUGUAAUUACCAAUAAAGGGCAAUGCUGAUUUUGAGUUUUCCCUUGAUGGUAGCUUCACCACGUCCACCGUAUUUGUUGGAACUUUAGUGUAAACAAUAGAAAAAAGACUCCUUCCUGUGGACCUAUGCUUAGAGCUGUUGUAGGAGAACUCGGCAAAAAGCUAAAUCCCAUUGUCCCUUCAUGUCUCCACAAAUGCAAAGGAUCAGAUUACCCAAAAACUUGUUCACCACUUCCGUUUGUCCAUCUGCUUGUGAAUGGGCAGUGCUAGAAUUUUUUAAUUCAGUGUUGAAUUGCUUCCACAAAGUGAGCCAAAAUGCAGCAAGAAACUUGCUAUCAUGGUCUAAGACGAUGAAUCUUGCAACUCCAUGAAGUCCGACAGCUUCUCAAAAGAAUUGGUUUGCCACAUGAUGAUCCAUCUUAGAGAAUCUGUCCAGAACAACAGACACCACAUCACUCCCUCGUCUUAUUGUUGGCAAACCCAAGACGAAGUCCAUAGAGGUAUCCUCCCACGGAGCAACAGGAACAGGCAAAAGCAUGUAUAACCCUAUAUUCUUUACUUGGAACUUGGUCUUUGCAGUUUUGACAUAUGGGGCACCGUUGAACAAACUUUUGAGCAUCUCUUUUGUGUUGUGGCCAAAAGUAACAAGCCUUCAGGUUAGUGAUAGUCUUGUCGCGUCCAACAUGGCCACUAAGAUCACUUGAACACUUGAACGGAGCUCUCUAAUUAGUUUGUCAUAUAGAGAACUCCUUGGGAUGCACAAACGAUCAUUUUUUAAGAGAUAGCCAUCUUGCACCAAAUAGUCAUCACAUAAUGGUUGGCCCGUGCUGUGCUUUACCCAAACAUGGCCAAAGUCUUCACCAUCCUCAUACAAUUCCUUUAUUUGAUCCAUGCCUGGAUGUUUAACCUCAAAAAAAGUCAAGAGGCAUGCAUGACGACUCAACGCAUCGACCAUUCGGUUAGUUGUUCCAGAUUUAUGCACGAUGAGGUAGUUAAACCUCUCCAAAUAUGUUGCCCAUCUUGCUAGCAUGCGCUCAACAUGCUUUUGAUUUCUGAAAUGUUUCAAGGAUUGAUGGUCACUGUAAACAAUGAACUCUUUAGGCGGCAAAUAGACUUCCCAAGUUUUCAAAGCUCUGAAAAUGACAUACAAUUCUUGCUGAUAAGUACUCUUCUGCCUUGGUUCGCUUAAUUUCUCACCGAAGAAAGCAAUAGGCUUCCUUCUUGAGAGAGAACAACACCAAUGCGUACUCCACUUGCAUCACACUCCAACUCAAAAGUCUUAUUAAAAUGCGAUAACACCACGACAGGAGCUUGUGAGAGUUUUUGCUUGAUCUCAUUGAAACUAGUUUCGGCCGCUUUCGUCUAUUGGAACUUUCCUUUCUUCAAACACCUGGUAAUUGGUGCCAUGAUAGUGCUGAAAUUCCUCUUAAAUCGCCUAUAGAAAGUUAUAAGGCCAUGAAAACUUCUUACCUCAGAAAUGGUCUUUGGAGUUAUCCAUUCUCGGUCUCGGUAAUUGGUGCCAUGAUAGUGUGCUGAAAUUCUUCACAGAUCGCCUAUAGAAAGUUGCAAGGCCAUGAAAAUUGCUUACCUCAUAAAUGGUCUUCGGAGUUGGUCAUUCUCAGAUUGCUUCAACCUUAAAAUUAUCAACACGAUUACCGUCACAUGUUAUGUCAAAUCCUAGGGAAAGAAGUUGUGUUUGCAGGAAAACACAUUUCUUCAAGUUGACGUAGAGCUCAUUUUCCUUUAGUACUCUUGGCACCUUCCGAAUGUGAUCUAAGUGUUUAUCCUCAUCCUUGCUAUAGAUCAAGAUGUCAUCAAAAUAAACCGCAACAAAGUGGGAUAAGAAGGGCCAAAGGACUUGGUUCAUCAAAUGCAUGAAUGUACUUGGUGGAUUUGAGAGUUUGAAUGCCAUGACUAGCCAUUCAAAAAACCUUUCCAUUCAUCUCCGGAUCUGAUGCGAAUUUGAUGAUAUCCGCUUCUAAAAUCUAGCUUUGUGAACACUCUUGCUCCACUAAGCUGAUUCAACAUAUCAUCCGGACAGGGAAUAGGGAACCUGUACCUUACAGUGAUCUUGUUGAUGUCUUUACUGUCCACACGCAUGCAGCAAGAUCCAUCUUUCUUUGGCGUGAGUAGGGCUCGUACAUCACAUGGGCUAAUACUUUCUUGAAUGUGUCCUUUUUGCAGCAAUUCCUCCACUUUCUCCUUCAAUAUGUCAUGCUCUUUUGGGAUCAUUCGGUAGUGUGGAAGAUUAGGAAGACUUGCUCCCGGAAUUAAGUCAAUUCUAUGUUGAAAUCCUCUCAUUGGUGGCAGGCCUUGUGGCUCUCCAAGUAUUUUCUGAAAUUCUGCUAA
Triticum urartu is the source of this 9813-nucleotide non-coding RNA. Lineage: Eukaryota; Viridiplantae; Streptophyta; Magnoliopsida; Poales; Poaceae. The record is from RefSeq and is a predicted model, not a curated record.